This 775-nucleotide ribosomal RNA is filed under the name uncultured Neocallimastigales. RNAcentral describes it as "partial large subunit ribosomal RNA". It matches the Rfam family "Eukaryotic large subunit ribosomal RNA", at positions 23 to 634 of the family's 3401-position model. Lineage: Eukaryota; Fungi; Neocallimastigomycota; Neocallimastigomycetes; Neocallimastigales. The record is from RNAcentral.
AGAGAGAGACAUGCGCGCAUAUCAAUAAGCGGAGGAAAAGAAACUAACAAGGAUUCCCUUAGUAACGGCGAGUGAAGCGGGAAGAGCUCAAAUUUGAAAUCUUCAAGGUUUUACCUUGACGAAUUGUAGUUUAAAGAAGUGUUUUCUGCUGAAGUUUUGGUAAAAGUUCUUUGGAAUAGGACAUCAUAGAGGGUGAGAAUCCCGUAUUUGACCAUUAUUUUCAGCUUUGUGAUACACUUUCAAAGAGUCGGAUUGUUUGGGAAUGCAGUCCAAAAUGGGUGGUAAAUUUCAUCUAAAGCUAAAUAUUGGCGAGAGACCGAUAGCGAACAAGUACCGUGAGGGAAAGAUGAAAAGAACUUUGAAAAGAGAGUUAAGCAGUACGUGAAAUUGUCAAAAGGGAAGCGUUUGACACCAGUGUUGUUUUCUCGAAAAUCAAUUAAAAAUGGCUCGAUUUUGUAUUGUUGAGACCUUAAAAGCUCACUGUACAUUUUUCGUGUCUUUUUUAAUGCACUUUUCGUUUAACAAGUCAACAUCAGUUUCUUUUGUUGUAAAAGGGUCAUUGGAAGGUGGCUUUCUUUUCGGAGAAAGGUGUUUAUAGCCUUUGGCCUCUGCAAUCGGAGAGACUGAGGUCUGCAGCGUAGACUCUUCGGGGUUAGAUACAUUUGUGCUAAGUUAUAGCUUUUUAUAGACAACUUGUUGACUAUAAUUAGUCUUGUAGCUUACUCGCUUAUGCUAUUUUACCUACGCUUAGGAUGUUGAAGAUGUAGCACAUCAU